RNAcentral lists this transfer RNA (72 nucleotides) under Candidatus Zixiibacteriota bacterium. Its description in RNAcentral is "tRNA-Asn". It matches the Rfam family "tRNA". Rfam says of the family: Transfer RNA (tRNA) molecules are approximately 80 nucleotides in length. The record is from RNAcentral. Lineage: Bacteria; Pseudomonadati; Candidatus Zixiibacteriota.
UGGGGAGUGGCCAAGUGGCAAGGCGCCCGGCUGUUAACCGGGAAAGCGUAGGUUCGAAUCCUACCUCCCCAG